This is a non-coding RNA of Agelaius phoeniceus (red-winged blackbird), 241 nucleotides long. Lineage: Eukaryota; Metazoa; Chordata; Aves; Passeriformes; Icteridae. The record is from RefSeq and is a predicted model, not a curated record.
AUAAACAAAUGCUGAAAGUUUCCUGAAAUGCUUGGAGAUGACUAUUAUUUGCAGCAGAUCUCAAAUGCAGCAGAUGGAGCAUCAGUGAACACUCCAGAAUACCCUCUCACUUCCACAGCAUGCCAGGACAGAUAAGGGACUGCUGUUUGUGCUGGGGAAGCACGAGCCACGCUUUGAUCUUCAGAUACCAGUUCCCUCCUUCUGCUGUAAAGUGCAACUCCAUCUCCUUACCUGUGAUUAA